This 218-nucleotide long non-coding RNA is filed under the name Trifolium pratense (red clover). Its description in RNAcentral is "long non-coding RNA (TPRA_LNC007736)". Lineage: Eukaryota; Viridiplantae; Streptophyta; Magnoliopsida; Fabales; Fabaceae. The record is from RNAcentral.
UUCAUUGCAGUAUCACUCUCACUAAUUUCCGCCGAUUUUCAGAUCUGAAUUUUGUUGUUUGUUGAUUUUCCAAAAAAUUAAAAUUAAAUCAGAAUUAAUGAUGUUUGGAGAACAUGUGUUGUUGUUAUUUUUCUUGAACUUGUAAUUGCUAACCCAACCCAUAUCCUUCACCAAGAUCAAAGGAAUGAACACGUGAGAGGUAGAGACCAGGAAGGAGA